Molecule: ribosomal RNA, 837 nt
Filed under: uncultured bacterium
Lineage: Bacteria
Description: bacterial SSU rRNA
Rfam family: Bacterial small subunit ribosomal RNA
Source: RNAcentral
AAUCAACGCUGGCGGCGUGCCUAACACAUGCAAGUCGAACGAGAAAGUGGAGCAAUCCAUGAGUAAAGUGGCGACCGGGUGAGUAACACGUGACUAACCUACCUUUCAGUGGGGAAUAACCUCGGGAAACCGGGGCUAAUACCGCAUAAUGUCUUCGGACCAAAGGAGCAAUUCGCUGGAAGAGGGGGUCGCGGCCGAUUAGCUAGUUGGCGGGGUAACGGCCCACCAAGGCAAUGAUCGGUAGCCGGCCUGAGAGGGCGCACGGCCACACUGGAACUGAAACACGGUCCAGACUCCUACGGGAGGCAGCAGUGGGGAAUUUUGCGCAAUGGGGGAAACCCUGACGCAGCAACGCCGCGUGGAGGAUGAAGCCCCUUGGGGUGUAAACUCCUUUCGAUCGGGACGAUGAUGACGGUACCGGAUGAAGAAGCACCGGCUAACUCUGUGCCAGCAGCCGCGGUAAUACAGAGGGUGCAAGCGUUGUUCGGAAUUAUUGGGCAUAAAGGGUGCGUAGGCGGUGUUCUAAGUCUGUUGUGAAAUCUACAGGCUCAACUUGUAGACUGCAAGGGAAACUGCCGGGCUUGAGUAUGGGAGAGGUGAGUGGAAUUCCUGGUGUAGCGGUGAAAUGCGUAGAUAUCAGGAGGAACACCUGUGGCGAAAGCGGCUCACUGGACCAUAACUGACGCUGAUGCACGAAAGCUAGGGGAGCAAACAGGAUUAGAUACCCUGGUAGUCCUAGCCCUAAACGAUGACUGCUUGGUGUGGCGGGUACCCAAUCCCGCCGUGCCGUAGCUAACGCGUUAAGCAGUCCGCCUGGGGAGUACGGUCGCAAGGCUG